RNAcentral lists this non-coding RNA (150 nucleotides) under Clostridium acidisoli. RNAcentral's name for it is "THF-I sequence". It matches the Rfam family "THF (Tetrahydrofolate) riboswitch aptamer". From Rfam's summary of the family: THF riboswitch presents a pseudoknot that joins P1-P2 and the loop of P3 and two THF binding. The record is from RNAcentral. RNAcentral also lists the same sequence under 1 other name. Lineage: Bacteria; Bacillati; Bacillota; Clostridia; Eubacteriales; Clostridiaceae.
GGCAGAGUAGAUAAUUGUGCGUUAGAUUUAAUUAUUAUAUCUUAAGUGCUAGUUUUGGACGGGAAGUUGCCACUAGACGAAAACUUUAAUAAAUAUAAAAUUAGUAAAUUUUAUAUUUUAGUUACGAUACAAUUAUUGCAUUCCGCUGCC